RNAcentral lists this ribosomal RNA (253 nucleotides) under uncultured bacterium. RNAcentral's name for it is "partial 16S ribosomal RNA". It matches the Rfam family "Bacterial small subunit ribosomal RNA", at positions 524 to 776 of the family's 1533-position model. The record is from RNAcentral.
UACAGAGGUCCCAAGCGUUGUUCGGAUUCACUGGGCGUAAAGGGUGCGUAGGUGGCAGGGUAAGUCGGAUGUGAAAGCUCGGAGCUCAACUCCGAAAUGGCAUUGGAAACUACCCAGCUCGAGGGUUGGAGGGGGGACUGGAAUGCUUGGUGUAGCAGUGAAAUGCGUAGAUAUCAAGCGGAACACCAGUGGCGAAGGCGAGUCCCUGGACAACUCCUGACACUGAGGCACGAAAGCUAGGGGAGCAAACAGG